CAAAGUCGAAGUGGCAGAAAGUUUGACCUGUGCUGGGAGAUUUUUCUCUAACCCGUUGGGUGGACUCGUCACCACGGCUUCCUGGCGACCUGCACGCGGAUCCCACUCGUUUUUAUUUUUGUCUUGAUACGGACCAAAGUCCACUGUGGUCGGCAGGAGGAAUUCCUCAGACUAGUGACCCUUGACUCUGGAAAGGUGUCUCUCCUGGUAACUUGGGUGGUCAGAACUGGGCAGGUUCUGUGGACCUCAGAGCCCCAUUUGAUGAGCUGGACAGUGGGGGCAGACAGCACGGUAGGCGAGCAGCUGCGCCUGGAACAGACGUCACAGAGGGAGGCAGGGGUGCCCGUCCCCUUUGUGACCCAAGCUCACAACAAGCUGACCGCUCUUUUCUUUUGAGAUAGGUCUGGCCGUGUGGCCCUUGGAAUUCAAAAUUUCCAGAGAGAAAAGAUGCUAAAAUUAAAAAAUGACUUCUGAGCAUCGAGCUGUGAUCUAGAGAUGAGGGUGACAUGGUGGCUGAGACCUCAGGAAGAGGAAAGGAUGAGUGAUUCUCUCGCAGGUCCAGGUACUGAGGCCUGGGUGUGCCUCCCAGAUGACCCAGUGACCGCGGCCCCUCCAGGAUCCCCGGGGCAGGCCCUCAGCCUCCCCGCAAGCGGCCAGAUGGGAAAAAGCUCAACCCGGAGAGAUCAUGGGUGGAACUUUCCUGGGAUGAAGUGAGCCUCAGGGAGACCCACAGGCUCCUGAGAAAAGCUGCCAGGCAGCCUUCAGGGACAUGCAGAAAAGGGGGCAGUGGGUCCCCCACGUCCUACUGACCAGACGCAGAUGGCCUUCCAUGAAAAAGGACGGACAGCUCAGAGGACAGGAUGGAGACCCAGAGAGCAAAGCCCAGAGCCAUGGAGAAUCCUUCCCAGACCUUGGGGUCCAGGCAGGGCACUUUAUUGUCUCCCGCUGGUCUCAGGUGGCCUGGGACCGGGGCCCCACCGUGCCCCCUGUUUCUCCUCUGAACAGCAAUGCCCAUCUCGAUGCCCUGCCCUAAGGUAGAAAAGGCCACUGUCAGGACAGCAGUCAGGGCGUGGCCAUCUGGGCUCUGGGGAGAUGACCCCCUCCAAGUUCGCCCACGUGGGUGUGGGCAGCUCACCGUGUGGCGGAGGUUCCAUCAGGGCACAUGGGCAGGGGGGUGGGAGCCAGCGGGAUCCCAGCCCUUUGCUCUUGGAGAGGUAAAAUCCACGUGUGAUCCAUCACCUCCCAGUUGUAGCUCAUGGGCACACAGGCAUUCACCGCUCUAGAUUUGAAACCUUUCCAUCACCCCCAAGAACGCUCAGUCCUGCUAAGUGGUCACCCCCAACCCCUCUCCCCCAGCCCCUGGGCCAGCACCAGUUUCUCUCCGCCUGCGGAUCAGCCCGUGCUAGCCCCUCACCUUCCAGAGGAAUCCCAACAUAUGUGUGUGCCUCUUCGCUCUGCGUCCUGUUUUCAAGAUCCCUCCACAUGGCAGCGUGAGCCAGUCCUUCGCUCUUCAUUACUUUUUAAGACAUGAACCUUAUUUUUUAGAGUUGUUUUAAGUUCACAGAAAAAUUCCA
This 1574-nucleotide long non-coding RNA is filed under the name Marmota monax (woodchuck). The record is from RNAcentral. Lineage: Eukaryota; Metazoa; Chordata; Mammalia; Rodentia; Sciuridae.